GACGAACGCUGGCGGCGUGCUUAACACAUGCAAGUCGAACGGAAAGGCCCUGCUUUUGUGGGGUGCUCGAGUGGCGAACGGGUGAGUAACACGUGAGUAACCUGCCCUUGACUUUGGGAUAACUUCAGGAAACUGGGGCUAAUACCGGAUAGGAGCUCCUGCUGCAUGGUGGGGGUUGGAAAGUUUCGGCGGUUGGGGAUGGACUCGCGGCUUAUCAGCUUGUUGGUGGGGUAGUGGCUUACCAAGGCUUUGACGGGUAGCCGGCCUGAGAGGGUGACCGGCCACAUUGGGACUGAGAUACGGCCCAGACUCCUACGGGAGGCAGCAGUGGGGAAUAUUGCACAAUGGGCGGAAGCCUGAUGCAGCAACGCCGCGUGCGGGAUGACGGCCUUCGGGUGGUAAACCGCUUUCGCCUGGGACGAAGCGUGAGUGACGGUAAUGGGUAAAGAAGCACCGGCUAACUACGUG
Molecule: ribosomal RNA, 468 nt
Filed under: uncultured bacterium
Lineage: Bacteria
Description: partial 16S ribosomal RNA
Rfam family: Bacterial small subunit ribosomal RNA
Source: RNAcentral